GUUUGCACUUGUCGGGGAAGGGUGAGAACCUUCGAUUAAGGUUCGACUCGAGCGAAAGCGAGAGAACGUUGCCAACGGCAAGGGCCCGUAGGGUGAGGAGCGAAGCGACGAAUAAUCCUUCCCCCACCACCA
Molecule: small RNA, 132 nt
Filed under: Salmonella enterica
Lineage: Bacteria; Pseudomonadati; Pseudomonadota; Gammaproteobacteria; Enterobacterales; Enterobacteriaceae
Also listed under: 3 other names
Description: RtT sRNA
Rfam family: RtT RNA
About the family: This family represents a bacterial cis-regulatory element known as RtT RNA. The exact function of RtT is unknown although it is thought that it may be involved in changing the cellular response in relation to amino acid starvation.
Source: RNAcentral